CUCCAACGGAAGAAACCACCACCCUUGAUGAGGAAACUCUGACCACCUUGGAUGGCAGCAAGAAGCCACCACCGAAAAAGAAACCUCCAACGGAAGAAGCUGGAAUGCAUCAUUACGAUGUAAAGAUCAUAUCAGCAAACAUAGUAGUUGCAUUGUCUAUCUGGGGAAUAAAACAAAUAAAAGUGUAAUGAAAUAUCAAAGCUAGAGCAAAUCCAGUUACACUCACCAAAAAGAAUACACACAAGCAUGACUAUCUACCAUUCUCUCCGUAAUAAAAUUUCUCGACUUCUAUAAGGUCCCCAUGCAUCACGAUCUAUCAACCCAAUUAAAGAGCAUGCCACUCGUCGAGCGAUAUCUAAUCAUCUUAAUAUUUUCUAAACAGAAAAUAAU
RNAcentral lists this long non-coding RNA (390 nucleotides) under Eucalyptus grandis. RNAcentral describes it as "long non-coding RNA (EGRA_LNC004510)". The record is from RNAcentral. Lineage: Eukaryota; Viridiplantae; Streptophyta; Magnoliopsida; Myrtales; Myrtaceae.